CAUGAAGUCGGAAUCGCUAGUAAUCGUAGAUCAGAAUGCUACGGUGAAUACGUUCCCGGGCCUUGUACACACCGCCCGUCACACCAUGGGAGUGGGCUGCAAAAGAAGUGGGUAGUUUAACCUUUCGGGGAGGACGCUCACCACUUUGUGGUUCAUGACUGGGGUGAAGUCGUAACAAGGUAGCGCUAGGGGAACCUGGCGCUGGAUCACCUCCUUAUACGAUGAU
RNAcentral lists this ribosomal RNA (226 nucleotides) under Vibrio sp. B1-2. Its description in RNAcentral is "partial 16S ribosomal RNA". It matches the Rfam family "Bacterial small subunit ribosomal RNA", at positions 1319 to 1533 of the family's 1533-position model. The record is from RNAcentral. Lineage: Bacteria; Pseudomonadati; Pseudomonadota; Gammaproteobacteria; Vibrionales; Vibrionaceae.